Molecule: ribosomal RNA, 893 nt
Filed under: uncultured archaeon
Lineage: Archaea
Description: bacterial SSU rRNA
Rfam family: Archaeal small subunit ribosomal RNA
Source: RNAcentral
AUCACUGCUAUUGGAAUUCGGUUAAGGCAUGCGAGUCGAGAGGGUACGGCCCUCGGCAAACGGCUCAGUAACACGUGGACAAUCUGCCCUUAGGUGGGGGAUAAUCUCGAGAAAUUGAGCAUAAUACCCCAUAUCUCUAGAAUGCUGGAAUGCUUCUAAAGAAAAAGCCCCGGCGCCUAAGGAUGAGUCUGCGGCCUAUCAGGUUGUAGUGAGUGUAACGGACUCACUAGCCGACGACGGGUACGGGUCCUGAGAGGGAGAGCCCGGAGAUGGACUCUGAGACACGAGUCCAGGCCCUACGGGGCGCAGCAGCUACGAAAACUUCACAAUGCGGGAAACCGUGAUGAGGGGAUUCCAAGUGCUAAUACUUUGUAUUAGCUGUUUACUUGCCUAAAAAGCAGGUAGAGUAAGAGCUGGGUAAGACUGGUGCCAGCCGCCGCGGUAAUACCAGCAGCUCGAGUGGUGAUCGCUAUUAUUGGGCCUAAAGCGUCCGUAGCCGGCUUGGUAAACCCUUGGGUAAAUCGGGCAGCUUAACUGUCCGACUUCUGAGGAGACUGCCAGGCUUGGGACCGGGAGAGGUCAGAGGUACUUCUAGGGUAGAGGUGAAAUUCUGUAAUCCUAGGAGGACCACCAGUGGCGAAGGCGUCUGACUAGAACGGGUCCGACGGUAAGGGACGAAACCCUGGGGCGCGAACCGGAUUAGAUACCCGGGUAGUCCAGGGCGUAAACGCUGCGGGCUUGGUGUUGGGGGUCCUACGAGGGCGUCCAGUGCCGGAGAGAAGUUGUUAAGCCCGCCGCCUGGGGAGUACGGUCGCAAGACUGAAACUUAAAGGAAUUGGCGGGGGAGCACAGCAACGGGUGGAGCGUGCGGUUUAAUUGGAUUCAACGCCGGG